This 924-nucleotide long non-coding RNA is filed under the name Pan troglodytes (chimpanzee). RNAcentral's name for it is "long non-coding RNA NONPTRT003105". Lineage: Eukaryota; Metazoa; Chordata; Mammalia; Primates; Hominidae. The record is from RNAcentral.
GGGUACCGCUGUGCCCGGCCUGGCCGCGGCCUAGUCCCGGCAGACGGGACUGACGAGGUCACCAAGCCCAGGCCGAGACGGCGCGGGUGUCAGGGACUUGGGAAUCCCCCUCCCCCAGUCCCGAUCCCGCUUUCCUUUGGGGUUUCACCUCAGAGGACCCGACAUCACUCUUGCAGAACAGCCGUCUACCUGUCUUCCUGGCUCACUCCCUGCAGGAAUGGUCUGGGGCAACCCCAGCAACACGCCCACCUGUGGCCAGGAUGAAUAGGAAUCCAGUUCAGGCUUGGCUUCCAUGGCAAUCAAGGCCCACCAGGCCCCAGCAACCUUCCCUACCCCCCAUUCCUUUUUGCUGCCCCCCUCCACACCAGGCAUGUUCCCUGCCACACCAUGCUGUUCCCCUCACCUGGGCUGCCCUCCCAACUCCUCUCUGCCUCUGGAGAUGCUCUGCCAUUCAAGACUUGGCUCAGGCUCCAGGUCCUCCCUGGGCCUUCUAGAGCCCCUGGUUCUCACUCCUCUGAACACUUCCAGCCUGGCUAAUAGCCCACUGCAUCCUGGCCUGGGGUACAGGUGGCCAGCACAGGUGUGGGGGCCAGCUUCCAACACAAGCACGGGUAGGUCCCUCUGCAGACCAUGGGCUGCGAGAGGCCCGGCCUUGCCCACUGCAGGGGCCCUGCGCAGGGCUGGGCACGAAGCAGGUGGGUGUCCACCAAUCUAGUAUCCAAAACCCUGCUUGGUUCACCCCCACCUCUGUUGAAGGAAAGCAACACUGUGAUGGAGAGGAGCAGCUGUGGAUUCAAAUCCUGGCUUGGCCACUUUCUAGUUGUGUGACUUGGUGCAUCUGCCCUCAACUCCUCAGAGACAAAAAUGGCAACACCUCCCUUCUUGGGUUACUAUGAGGAUUAAAUAACAAAACCUCCAAGAAGC